This 1202-nucleotide small RNA is filed under the name Cryptococcus neoformans H99. RNAcentral's name for it is "Cryptococcus neoformans var. grubii H99 hypothetical RNA". Lineage: Eukaryota; Fungi; Basidiomycota; Tremellomycetes; Tremellales; Cryptococcaceae. The record is from RNAcentral.
CUGUUCGCAACGCAAAUUCCAACUUCUACUCUCAGAGUAGUAAUGCUCUCUUUCCUCUUUGCUUGAAGUAACAGGGCAGCAUCUGCAGUCCGCUGCAGAACUGCUAGGGUUAAGAACUGGGAUGGUGACUCGUCAUCUUCUUAAUCCUCCGUCCUCACCCGGGAGCCAAGAAGAGAGCGACUACUGUAUGCUGUAUCUAUUUUAUCUUCCUAUUUAUGCUUCCGCCCUGUGAAGUGACACACGUACGCGACACGCUAUUCGCGAUAGAAUCACGGCAACGAUUUUACCUUACAUUUUUUUCAACACUAAUUACGAGCUACGAAGUUCGUAAUAGAUGAUGCCGUGAUUCCGCAUGGCAUGACUCUUCUGCGGACAGCAGCCCUCUGCUGCCUCGGGAUUGGAAAGCUUUAGGUGCUGCUUAUUCAUAACAUAUCUGUUCUUCCCACGUAUAAUGAGGAUGGGUGCAUCAGAUAUAAAUUUGAAAUGUCUUAUAACAAUUGUACAAGAUCGAGGAAGAAAAUGAGUAAAGCUAAUUAUAAUUAGUCACCCAACAAUAGGUGGAAGAGAACAGAGAAGAGGGCUUAAAGAAGCGGUGGUAGGAGGUGGUCAGGUCAAACGUAAUAAUGUCGCGAUGUCAUAACGAAGGCAGCCCAAGGAGACAGUGCUGAAGCGCAAGAAGGAUGAAGUCGGAUCAAGUCACUUGCCUUUUGGGGUGCAAGGUUAUAUUUUGCCUCUCCUACAUCGCUCAAUACAAUCUUUGCACCCAUCAUGCAACCUUCCCACCAUCAACAACGUCGUACUGUGGACGGAGCGCAGCAGGGCUUUUGGUGAUAGGAAAAAAGAAUGACAAGAGCAAUAGGCAAUUGCUCAAUGCUUGACGGUGAACUGAACAGAAUUAUGGAUCUUCAGACAUGUGGAAUAACAACAAGCUGUAAGAAGAUUGAUUUCUCAUAUCCCACAUUUUCUUCCUCUUGGUGUCGUUUCACACGGAUCCAGGGAUUAGAGGUUCAGGAACAUAUUAUUGUUGCCGCAUAUGAUCCAGGAACAAGGAACGCAAACCGUCAUUAAGUAAUGACUCUUCUGGCCAGCCAGGCACGGAUUGAUAUCUGCAAUCAGCUGUUAGUCUUGCAGAGCUGAGCGGCUGACUGCCGUUUGCCGUGCUUCUUCAACGUCCACACCCAUCUGCGCUCUGUCAUUCUGCC